CUUGAGCGAGCCGAUGCGCAACGGGCUGUCUGCUGACCGUUCCUGACCGUACGUCGCCAGCAGCGCCUGGGCCUC
Molecule: antisense RNA, 75 nt
Filed under: Streptomyces varsoviensis
Lineage: Bacteria; Bacillati; Actinomycetota; Actinomycetes; Kitasatosporales; Streptomycetaceae
Description: ASpks sRNA
Rfam family: ASpks TB sRNA
Source: RNAcentral